This 426-nucleotide ribosomal RNA is filed under the name uncultured bacterium. RNAcentral describes it as "bacterial SSU rRNA". It matches the Rfam family "Bacterial small subunit ribosomal RNA", at positions 954 to 1380 of the family's 1533-position model. The record is from RNAcentral.
AUGGGAACGCGAAGAACCUUACCUAGACUUGACAUCUCCUGAAUAGUGUAGAGAUACAUGAAGCCCUUCGGGGCAGGAAGACAGGUGGUGCAUGGUUGUCGUCAGCUCGUGUCGUGAGAUGUUGGGUUAAGUCCCGCAACGAGCGCAACCCUUAUCAUUAGUUGCUACCAUUUAGUUGAGCACUCUAGUGAGACUGCCCGGGUUAACCGGGGAGGAAGGCGGGGGAUGACGUCAAAUCAUCAUGCCCCUUAUGUCUAGGGCUACACACGUGCUACAAUGGUGAGAACAACGAGAUGCAAUACCGCGAGGUGGAGCAAAACUUCAAAACUCAUCUCAGUUCGGAUUGUAGGCUGAAACUCGCCUACAUGAAGUUGGAGUUGCUAGUAAUCGCGAAUCAGAAUGUCGCGGUGAAUACGUUCCCGGGUC